Molecule: ribosomal RNA, 283 nt
Filed under: Enterococcus faecium
Lineage: Bacteria; Bacillati; Bacillota; Bacilli; Lactobacillales; Enterococcaceae
Description: partial 16S ribosomal RNA
Rfam family: Bacterial small subunit ribosomal RNA
Source: RNAcentral
UUGUCGUCAGCUCGUGUCGUGAGAUGUUGGGUUAAGUCCCGCAACGAGCGCAACCCUUAUUGUUAGUUGCCAUCAUUUAGUUGGGCACUCUAGCGAGACUGCCGGUGCCAAACCGGAGGAAGGUGGGGAGGACGUCAAAUCAUCAUGCCCCUUAUGACCUGGGCUACACACGUGUUCCAAUGGGAAGUACAACGAGUUGGGAAGUCGGGAGGUUAAGCUAAUUUUUUAAAGCUUCUUUCAUUUUGGUUUUUAGGCUGCAACUCGCCUCCAUGAAACCGGAAUC